This 80-nucleotide microRNA precursor is filed under the name Chlorocebus sabaeus (green monkey). RNAcentral describes it as "miRNA (ENSCSAG00000020518.1)". The record is from RNAcentral. Lineage: Eukaryota; Metazoa; Chordata; Mammalia; Primates; Cercopithecidae.
UUAUAUAUACACACACACACACACAUAUGUAUACAUGUAUAUAUGUGUGUGUGUGUGUGUGUAUAUAUAAAAUAUAAAAU